UUUCAACAACGGAUCUCUUGGCUCUGGCAUCGAUGAAGAACGCAGCGAAAUGCGAUAAGUAAUGUGAAUUGCAGAAUUCAGUGAAUCAUCGAAUCUUUGAACGCACAUUGCGCCCGCCAGUAUUCUGGCGGGCAUGCCUGUUCGAGCGUCAUU
RNAcentral lists this ribosomal RNA (153 nucleotides) under Tolypocladium inflatum. RNAcentral describes it as "5.8S ribosomal RNA". It matches the Rfam family "5.8S ribosomal RNA". Rfam says of the family: 5.8S ribosomal RNA (5.8S rRNA) is a component of the large subunit of the eukaryotic ribosome. It is transcribed by RNA polymerase I as part of the 45S precursor that also contains 18S and 28S rRNA. The record is from RNAcentral. Lineage: Eukaryota; Fungi; Ascomycota; Sordariomycetes; Hypocreales; Ophiocordycipitaceae.